UAAUAUUUACCACGUACCGAGCUUGAAAGCCCAUUAAGCUGCAUAACGCCUUGAUCAAUCUCCAUAUCUCCGCCUCUUUUAAUAAAGCCACACGUUCGUAACCCCACGACGCUGCAUCUGACCUCUGCCUGGAUCGCAGCUCCAACUCAAACUGCUCCUUCCGGUCAUCGGAGCUUCAUCACAGGUCAAUCCGGCUCCUUAAUUCAUAUUUGGAUUUCACUCAUCAUGUACAUCCCUCUGUUUGCUUGCUGAGGAAAUUGGAAAAAUCGAUUGUUUCUGAAUUUUUUUCUCUUCUCCUAAGAUUUGUACAUUCCACUUCACGUUAUUUGAUUAUCUGCACUUAUCUAAAAAAACAAAAUAGUACGAGUUUUUUUGUUUGAAUUGAUCCAAAUCUGAAAGAUUCUGCUUUUUUUUCUCCUGAUUUUUGUGUAUAUCGAUUUGUUCUGGAACUUUAAAUGCUAUAUCUUGCUUUACUUGAUCUUUACAUUUAGUUAAUGAAUGGAUCCAGUGGGGUAAUCUUAAUCUAGCCUUCAUUGAUAGCUCAAGUGUUGUUGGGUUAGACAUUCUUGUAAGAAUGCUUUCUCUCAAGAUUGGGUUAUAGUAAAGAGGUCUUAAUAGGAACUCAUGAAGGAAGACGUGCUUUCUUUAUUUUUCAUAGAAAUGAUCUUAAAUAAUUUCUCAAAAAAGGAAAAAGAGGAUCCGAAUAGAAGAAGAAAGAAAGAAGAUUUAUGUGUUUCGACUGGGUUGAAAUUUUGAAACCCUACUUGUUGGAAUAUUUUGAUUUUUGAGUUUCUUUCUUUCUCUUUUUUCCCUUUGGGUUACGUUUAGUUAUGGCUUUGUUUAUUGGUCUGACAAAUGUUACUUCGUUUAGGUGCUUUUAUCUGUUCUAGAAUUUAUUUCCUGGAAUAGAUGAUCCAGUUAUAGAUAUUUUCAGUGCUUGCUCAUUCAUGGUAAAACCUAUUAUGAGAAUCCCUUGUAUCUUUUGUGCUUCUUUUAGUUUAGGAUGUGAAAAGUAAUUGAAGUAUUAGAUGGAUUCAAAUAAUAAUCUUUGUAUUUAUCAAAAGGAACGAGCAAAAAAUGACCUGAGUCAAGUAUAGACCCCAGACCAUGACCUUAAUCAUCAUUUUGGAUGAGAAGUCACCACUACAGUACUUUUUCAGUGUUUAGGCAGUAUGAAACAGAUAUUUGUAGAUUGGCCUAUGGAUAAUUAGUGACAUAUAUCCAGUUUAUCCUGAACAUCAUUAGGUUAGUGAAAAUCGAAAAUCAUAACUUUCUAGACGCAUGAUACCUCUUGGAUGCUCCAUGUUAAUUCUUGUAAGUGUUAGCUAUAAUUUACAAGAACUCUUGUAGUGUAUUAAAAGGUCAUGUUUCAUGAUAGUAUUAAAAGAGAUUCUUACUGCUGAAGUGCACUAUUUGUUUGAUUCAGUUAUUAUGAGUCAAUUUUAUUAAAUGUAUAUACAGUAUUACUUAAGAAUUUUUUUUUUGAAAUAACAGUUUGACAUAAGAAUAAACUGACAUUUGUAUACUCUUAAAGUUAUUGGUACUAGAUUUAUAACCCGUGCUGCACACGAAUUAUACAAUUAAGUUACUUUUUAAUUAUAGCAAACUUUUAAAUAAAUGGUUAAUAUGCAACAAAUUUUAUCACAGUUGUGAGGAUAAUUUAAAAAAUUUGUAUGACAUACGUCUCUAGUGGCUGCUAGUUCAAGAAUAUACAUAGAUAUGUUGAUACAUAUUCCUUCUACGUAGCACUUGGCUUCCCCUCCCUACUCCCCCCCCCCCCCCCCCCAGCAAAAAAAAAAAAAAAAAAAAAACAAGGGGUAUCCAGGUUACCACAUCCAUAUUCAUGUUAUCCAGGACAUUUACGGGCAUAAAUAAGUAUAUUUUGGAUUUUGUUCCUAAAGAAACACAUUUUUUUCAGGGAUCCUAGAGGAAAGAAGGAAGGACAAGGUGUGGAGGAACCAACAGGUUGCACGUUAAGCUCAUUCCGUUAGUAGGGAUUUAGGGUGNN
This 2008-nucleotide long non-coding RNA is filed under the name Carica papaya (papaya). RNAcentral's name for it is "long non-coding RNA (CPAP_LNC002045)". The record is from RNAcentral. Lineage: Eukaryota; Viridiplantae; Streptophyta; Magnoliopsida; Brassicales; Caricaceae.